Molecule: transfer RNA, 86 nt
Filed under: Chitinophagales bacterium
Lineage: Bacteria; Pseudomonadati; Bacteroidota; Chitinophagia; Chitinophagales
Description: tRNA-Ser
Rfam family: tRNA
About the family: Transfer RNA (tRNA) molecules are approximately 80 nucleotides in length. Their secondary structure includes four short double-helical elements and three loops (D, anti-codon, and T loops).
Source: RNAcentral
GGAAGAUUGACAGAGAGGAUUAUUGUGCAUCACUGCUAACGAUGUGAGUUCAAAAAGCUCCGUAGGUUCGAAUCCUACAUCUUCCG